This 550-nucleotide ribosomal RNA is filed under the name uncultured bacterium. RNAcentral describes it as "bacterial SSU rRNA". It matches the Rfam family "Bacterial small subunit ribosomal RNA", at positions 355 to 893 of the family's 1533-position model. The record is from RNAcentral.
UAGGGAAUCUUCGGCAAUGGACGGAAGUCUGACCGAGCAACGCCGCGUGAGUGAAGAAGGUUUUCGGAUCGUAAAGCUCUGUUGUAAGAGAAGAACGAGUGUGAGAGUGGAAAGUUCACACUGUGACGGUGUCUUACCAGAAAGGGACGGCUAACUACGUGCCAGCAGCCGCGGUAAUACGUAGGUCCCGAGCGUUGUCCGGAUUUAUUGGGCGUAAAGCGAGCGCAGGCGGUUAGAUAAGUCUGAAGUUAAAGGCUGUGGCUUAACCAUAGUAGGCUUUGGAAACUGUUUAACUUGAGUGCAAGAGGGGAGGGUGGAAUUCCAUGUGUAGCGGUGAAAUGCGUAGAUAUAUGGAGGAACACCGGUGGCGAAAGCGGCUCUCUGGCUUGGCUUGUAACUGACGCUGAGGCUCGAAGCGUGGGGAGCAAACACGAUUAGAUACCCUGGUAGUCCACGCUGUAAACGAUGAGUGCUAGGUGUUAGACCCUUUCCGGGGUUUAGUGCCGUAGCUACGCAUUAAGCACUCCGCCUGGGGAGUACGACCGCAAGG